Molecule: ribosomal RNA, 355 nt
Filed under: Escherichia coli
Lineage: Bacteria; Pseudomonadati; Pseudomonadota; Gammaproteobacteria; Enterobacterales; Enterobacteriaceae
Also listed under: 4 other names
Description: partial 23S ribosomal RNA
Rfam family: Bacterial large subunit ribosomal RNA
Source: RNAcentral
GGUUAAGCGACUAAGCGUACACGGUGGAUGCCCUGGCAGUCAGAGGCGAUGAAGGACGUGCUAAUCUGCGAUAAGCGUCGGUAAGGUGAUAUGAACCGUUAUAACCGGCGAUUUCCGAAUGGGGAAACCCAGUGUGAUUCGUCACACUAUCAUUAACUGAAUCCAUAGGUUAAUGAGGCGAACCGGGGGAACUGAAACAUCUAAGUACCCCGAGGAAAAGAAAUCAACCGAGAUUCCCCCAGUAGCGGCGAGCGAACGGGGAGCAGCCCAGAGCCUGAAUCAGUGUGUGUGUUAGUGGAAGCGUCUGGAAAGGCGUGCGAUACAGGGUGACAGCCCCGUACACAAAAAUGCACAU